RNAcentral lists this transfer RNA (69 nucleotides) under Urocitellus parryii (Arctic ground squirrel). RNAcentral describes it as "Spermophilus parryii (Arctic ground squirrel) tRNA". It matches the Rfam family "tRNA". From Rfam's summary of the family: Transfer RNA (tRNA) molecules are approximately 80 nucleotides in length. Their secondary structure includes four short double-helical elements and three loops (D, anti-codon, and T loops). RNAcentral also lists the same sequence under 1 other name. The record is from Rfam by way of RNAcentral. Lineage: Eukaryota; Metazoa; Chordata; Mammalia; Rodentia; Sciuridae.
GGGGUUGUGGCUCAGUGGUAGAGCGCUUGUCUAGCAUGCACAAGGCACUGGGUUCAAUCCUCAGCACCA